This 404-nucleotide ribosomal RNA is filed under the name uncultured bacterium. RNAcentral's name for it is "partial 16S ribosomal RNA". It matches the Rfam family "Bacterial small subunit ribosomal RNA", at positions 28 to 526 of the family's 1533-position model. The record is from RNAcentral.
GAUGAACGCUGACAGAAUGCUUAACACAUGCAAGUCAACUGUGGCGGACGGGUGAGUAACGCGUAAAGAACUUGCCUCACAGAUAGGGACAACAUUUGGAAACGAAUGCUAAUACCUGAUACUGUGAGAGAGCUUUGCGUCCCAUUAGCUAGUUGGAGAGGUAACGGUGCACGAAGGCGAGGAUGGGUAGCCGGCCUGAGAGGGUGAUCGGCCACAAGGGGACUGAGACACGGCCCUUACUCCUACGGGAGGCAGGGGUGGGGAAUAUUGAACAAUGUACCAAAGUCUGAUCCAGCGAUUCUGUGUGCACGAUGAAGUUUUCGGAAUGUAAAGGGUUUGCAGUUGGGAAGCGGUACCAACAGAAGAAGUGACGGCUAAAUACGUGCCAGUAGCCGCGGUAAUUC